AACGAACGCUGGCGGCAGGCUUAACACAUGCAAGUCGAACGGGCGUAGCAAUACGUCAGUGGCAGACGGGUGAGUAACACGUGGGAACCUUCCUAGGGGUACGGAACAACUCAGGGAAACUUGAGCUAAUACCGUAUACGUCCGUGAGGAGAAAGAUUUAUCGCCCUUAGACGGGCCCGCGUCGGAUUAGCUAGUUGGUGGGUAACGGCCUACCAAGGCGACGAUCCGUAGCUGAUCUGAGAGGAUGAUCAGCCACACUGGAACUGAGACACGGCCCAGACUCCUACGGGAGGCAGCAGUGGGGAAUCUUGGACAAUGGGCGCAAGCCUGAUCCAGCCAUGCCGCGUGAGUGAAGAAGGCCUUCGGGUUGUAAAGCUCUUUGUCAGGGACGAUAAUGACGGUACCUGAAGAAUAAG
RNAcentral lists this ribosomal RNA (416 nucleotides) under uncultured bacterium. Its description in RNAcentral is "bacterial SSU rRNA". It matches the Rfam family "Bacterial small subunit ribosomal RNA", at positions 29 to 490 of the family's 1533-position model. The record is from RNAcentral.